GUGCCAUACGGACGUAGAAUGCACCACACGUAUUCGGCCGCCGCUGCCUGUUGCUCCGUGGUUACCGUGUAAACAUACUAGUAAAAGCCGAUAUUCUCUGUCGUCGUCGUCGUCGUAAAUAGGUGGAGAGUACGCGCACGUACAUACAGCAUUAUUCUGUUCAAUACAUAUACAUACAUAAAUGUGAUAUUGUUAAUAUAUAAUACAAGUACAAUACAAUAAUAUAAUAAUAAUAAUAUGCUAUAAAUCGUUUUUCACGAGUAUUGUAUUAAUUUUACGUUUUCACGGAAAAAAUCGUUAAAAUAAAAAUAAUAAAAUUCCGUCGUUUUCCGAGUGCAUGUGCGUGUGCGGUUUUCGUCUGCGCGCCGAUCCGAUUUGCCCAAAAAAAUAAAAUAAAAACGGAUUAUACACGUCCGAGACCCGAGGCAAUAUGUGGAACGGAGCGGCCGGUCGCACGGGAAGCAGAGACUCGGUGACUCAGUGAUAAAGUUUCCGCGAACCAGCGGAAGGAAUUAACCGCCGACGCCGGCUCUAUACCGGGUUACAAGGCAGAACCUGAGCGGUAUCGAGCAGCGCUGUCUUGGCGACGGCGGUGUCGCCGUGUACACGCACGCACGCACGCACUAGCACACGCCUACACACGACAGAGACGAUAAUCACGCAUGUCGUCCGCGGUGGACGGACAGCAACAGCAACAGCCGCUGCAGGGCGGUGGCUCACCGCCGAUGGAAGUGGUGUUGGCGCAGCACUGCUGCAAAGAAGAAUCGCCCGGCGUAUCGCCGCCGCACCCGCAGUCCGUCAUGUCGCCGACCAUCGUCCAAGACAUGCCGCCCGAGAGCACGUCGCCCGUGAUGCUGGCCACCAUGCAGCCGGUGAGCGUGGACGAAUUCCAAUCGUCCGAUUACCACCAUCAAAACCACCACCAGCAACAGCAGCAGCACCACCACCACCAACAGCAGCAACACCAACAACAACACCACCAUCAGCAGCAGCCCGACGAUCCGCUGGAUCAGAAGACCGUCAUCUAUAUACCGGGCACCGAUCCGCAGCAGACCAUCAUUUACGAUCCGCAGAAUCCCGCAGGAUCGUUGCCGCCCGGCAUCACGAUCCAGCAGGAUCCGGCCAACGGAUCGGCAGUGUCCGUGUUGGUCCAGGGGCAGGCACAUCACCAGUACAUUGGAGCGCCGGGCACUACCGUGUUGGUCAUGCAGGAGCUAGUCGACGACAUGGGUCACAUACUGCACAGGAGACGGCGGGGUAGCUGCAGCGAGGACGACGAGGUCACCGGCGCCGUUGUUGACGGCGACGGACAGCAUCACCACCGCCGGCGACACGAUCAUCACCGCGACGACGGCAUGGCCGAUUCGGACACGAACGGUGGUGGUGGCGCCGGGGGCGGAGGAGGCGGCGGCGGCGGCGGGGGUGGCGGCGUGACCGAACAACCCGCCGAGCCGGGUGGCUGGAGGUCGUCGUACUACGAACAUCCGCUGACCGCCGCCACGUCGGCCAUGCUCAACAUUUCGGGCGGCGCUGCCGGGGACGAACAGGGCCAACAGUCGGGACAGGGCCAAGGCGGUGCACCGCUCAGUUUCGUCUACGAGUAUUACAAGCUGCCGCACUUGUCCGACUCCGUCAAGGACAAGCAUCUUGCCGACAUAUGGCCAACCACAUCUUCGCCGAACGGUUCACUGUUACCGUCGCAGCUUAAACCGUCCAACGGACUGAUCGGCACCGGUCCAGGAGGACUGGAGAUCGGCGCCGGACACCUGGGCGAUUUGCAGGGACUUUUCCUGCACCAGCAACCGCUUAAGCGCGAGCCCGAGGACUUGAGCCAUCACCGCGGCGGCGGACCACCAAACAAGGGCGGCAACAAUGCGGACGGUCUGAAAACGAUCGGCGGACGUCCCAAAGUGGUGUUGGUCGCGCCCGGCAACAACGGCGGUCAGCAGGACCAGCAGCAACAGCAACUGGUCGUGGACGUCGUAAACAACAAUAACAAUCAGCAGGCGAACAACAACAACAACAACAACAACGCGGUGGGCGGCGUGAAGGAGGAGUACGGCGGUGGACACCAUUCGCCGCAGCACAACAGCCGGUCGAUAAACGGCACGCCGUCGUCCACGUCGUCGCUCAUCACCGAGAUGAACCCGCCGCCGCCGGCCAUCGAGUUGAUCGCCACGCCGGACGGCCUGAAGCCCAUGUACGGCACGCACAUAUUCACCACCAUGUCCGGACAGCACGCGGACAGCGGCACGCCGUCGCCCAACUCGUACGAGCACCAGCAGUACACCACGUCGUCCGUGCUGACGGGCGGCGGCGGUGCCGGCAACCCGGGCGGCUACAUCACCACGUCCGGCGGCCGGGCCCCGUUCGCGGACCCGUACACAUAUCGCGAGUACUUCGGCGGCGCGGGCGCCGGCCCCGAACCGGGCCCGUACGGCUCGCAGAUCGGCACCGGCGGCGGUGGCCGGCAGACCGCGUCCUCCUACGGCGGCGAUGCCUCCGACCCCGGCGCCGUGUCCAACGCCGCGGCCACAGCUUCGUUUGUCGAACGUUACGUCCGACAAAGUUCGUACCACAACAAGGGCGUUAUCGCCGCAGCCGGGCUCACCGUCGACCUGCCGUCGCCCGACAGCGGCAUCGGCGCCGACGCCAUCACGCCACGUGACCAAAACGCCAUCCAACAGUCAUUCGAUUACAACGAGAUGUGCCAAACGCCUAGCAUGUUGGGUGAACACCAAGCACAGCGGACGCCCACCGGAGGACGGUCGAGACCGUGGCACGACUUCGGCAGACAAAACGAUGCGGACAAGAUACAAAUACCAAAAGUAUUCUCCAACUACGGGUUCCGCUAUUAUUUGGAAUCACCGAUCUCCACUAACCAAAGGCGUGAAGACGACAGGGUAACGUACAUCAAUAAAGGCCAGUUCUAUGGCAUUACUAUGGAGUACAUACCAGACCCUGACAAACCGUUGACCAGUCAAACAGUCAAGAGCGUGGUCAUGCUGAUGUUCAGAGAGGAGAAAAGUCCAGAUGACGAAAUCAAAGCGUGGCAAUUUUGGCACGGCAGACAGCACAGCGUCAAACAGCGAAUACUCGAUGCCGACACGAAAAACAGUGCAGGCCUGGUGGGAUGCAUUGAAGAAGUAUCACACAACGCCAUCGCCAUUUAUUGGAACCCUCUGGAGAGUCCGGCAAAAAUCAACGUCGCCGUGCAAUGUCUGAGUACGGAUUUCAGCAGCCAAAAAGGCGUAAAGGGUUUGCCACUGCACCUGCAAAUCGACACCUACGAAGAACCGAGAGACGGACCUGUGUACCACAGGGGAUAUUGUCAAAUCAAAGUUUUCUGUGAUAAGGGAGCCGAAAGGAAGACUAGAGACGAAGAGCGGAGAGCGGCCAAACGGAAAAUGACUGCCACGGGUCGUAAGAAGAUCGACGAACUCUAUCAUCCGCCAUGCGAGCGAUCCGAAUUCUAUUCAAUGAGCGACCUCAACAAACCACCAGUAUUGUUCUCACCCGCCGAGGACAUCGACAAGCUGACGUCAAUGGAACUUCAAGGAUUCUAUGGACAUGACACGGACACGUCUAGUCUGUCAAACGGCGAACCUGGUUCGUUGAAGCACUCGUCGCCUUUCCUGUUGCACUCUGGUGUGGCCAACAAGCCAGCUGGUACGACGACCACGCAGACACUCAAGUUCCACAAUCACUUCCCGCCGGAUACGCAUAACGUAUCUUAUUACAACAGCGAGAAGAAAGAAGUACUGGACCAGAGCGGACUGACCACGGACGGUACGGUUUUCUCGAGUCCGCCCAACAAGCGAACGAAGCUACAAGUGCCGCCCAUUAACGAGCGAGUAAUGCUGUACGUGCGGCAGGACGCCGAGGAUGUGUACACGCCUCUGCACGUCAUACCGCCAACGACCCAGGGACUAUUGAAUGCUGUAAGCACAGACUUCAUUUAUUAUUGAAAUUGAGGCUAAGUACAAAAUUUCUGCUUCCAGCAUUAGUAACAUGUAUCGAAAAAACAAAAAAGGGAUUACGGCCAAAAUUGAUAAUGAUAUGCUCAAAUAUUAUUGUAAUGAAGAU
RNAcentral lists this unclassified non-coding RNA (4086 nucleotides) under Rhopalosiphum maidis (corn leaf aphid). RNAcentral's name for it is "protein grainyhead-like, transcript variant X5". The record is from RNAcentral. Lineage: Eukaryota; Metazoa; Arthropoda; Insecta; Hemiptera; Aphididae.